Chelonoidis abingdonii (Abingdon island giant tortoise) is the source of this 1042-nucleotide non-coding RNA. Lineage: Eukaryota; Metazoa; Chordata; Testudines; Testudinidae. The record is from RefSeq and is a predicted model, not a curated record.
GAAACCAUGAGUAUUGUGAUUGCCACACAAAAACUGUCCAUCUGGGAGCCCAUCAGAUGCCACUGUCACUGAGAUAAGUGUCUGUUUUGCUGAGGGUUCUGCUCAUGGCCCAUCUGACUCCGGGUAGAUACGUCCCGUUAGCUAGGGCUGGGUUUGUAAGAAAAGGUUCCAGACUAGCUGUGGUUACUAGGGAGACAAGGUCCCCAUUUUCAGCGGCUGCUCAUUUCUCUGGCCAGAAGCGGUGUGUCCUCCGCAGCAGAAGGUUUCAUCUAGGAAGAUGACUCCAGUUUGCAGAGGAAUCAUCCAGGAGCCCUAGCUGGAGGAGAAGGUGGUAGAAGUAGAUUUGAGCAGCCUGGACAUCCUUCUAAAGAGACAUGAAUAGGCAUCAUAUUGCUGUCUUCUGAAUAACUGGCUGUGAGUAAAAGUUCCUACUGAGAUUGGUUAGAGGAGAGAUCUGCCAACCUGUGGCAGAGACCAAAGAAGGAGCAGCAACCCUGAGCCCAUCCCUUGGGAUGAAAGCCAGACAGUGAUCUGCAGGGUAAAGAAGUGCUACCCAAAGACUGUAGCAGCCCUGCCACUCCUUGGAACCAGGAGACUGGAUCUAUGCAAAGGUCCACCAAUGAAAGACUCCCCUGGCUCCAUGCUGGAAGGGCCCUUUCCAAGUCCUAUUAAUCACCAGUACUGCACUGAAGUGCCAAGGAUUGACUGUCUGGACCCACGCUUCUCACUGCAAAAAUACCCCUCCACCUUGGGAGGAUUCUCCUACUGAUGAUUAGCCUAUUUCUCCUUCUAGCUCUGCUGUGCCUUCUGGACAGCAAGGAAAAAGGACAAGGUGAAGCGCUAGUAACCUCUCCCUUGUCCAGUGAUAGAUCUACUGUGCCUUUGGAUUUCUCUAGAAGAAGCAAAACCAUUACAGGGUGAUGUGCUAGUAACCUCUCUCCUGUAGGAUGCUGAGCCACGCUUGCUUCAGGAAAGGAGGAGGAUCACUUGCUCCACUGAAAUUGCCAAAGUCCAGGAAUUCCUUACUAGAAAGGACAUUAAG